GUCAGGAUGGCCGAGUGGUCUAAGGCGCCAGACUCAAGGCUCUGCCUUCCUCCCUCUCCUGGGUAUUCUGGUCUCCGAAUGGAGGCGUGGGUUCAAAUCCCACUUCUGACA
Molecule: non-coding RNA, 111 nt
Organism: Struthio camelus australis
Lineage: Eukaryota; Metazoa; Chordata; Aves; Struthioniformes; Struthionidae
Source: Rfam